CCUACGGGUGGCAGCAGUGGGGAAUAUUGGACAAUGGGGGGAACCCUGAUCCAGCCAUGCCGCGUGUGUGAAGAAGGCCCUCGGGUUGUAAAGCACUUUCAGUGAGGAAGAACGCCUGGUGGUUAAUACCCAUCAGGAAAGACAUCACUCACAGAAGAAGCACCGGCUAACUCCGUGCCAGCAGCCGCGGUAAUACGGAGGGUGCGAGCGUUAAUCGGAAUUACUGGGCGUAAAGCGCGCGUAGGUGGCUUGAUAAGCCGGUUGUGAAAGCCCCGGGCUCAACCUGGGAACGGCGUCCGGAACUGUCAAGCUAGAGUGCAGGAGAGGAAGGUAGAAUUCCCGGUGUAGCGGUGAAAUGCGUAGAGAUCGGGAGGAAUACCAGUGGCGAAGGCGGCCUUCUGGACUGACACUGACACUGAGGUGCGAAAGCGUGGGUAGCAAACAGGAUUAGAUACCCCUGUAGUC
RNAcentral lists this ribosomal RNA (465 nucleotides) under Vreelandella stevensii. Its description in RNAcentral is "partial 16S ribosomal RNA". It matches the Rfam family "Bacterial small subunit ribosomal RNA", at positions 338 to 795 of the family's 1533-position model. The record is from RNAcentral. Lineage: Bacteria; Pseudomonadati; Pseudomonadota; Gammaproteobacteria; Oceanospirillales; Halomonadaceae.